Molecule: non-coding RNA, 104 nt
Organism: Vibrio sp. MEBiC08052
Lineage: Bacteria; Pseudomonadati; Pseudomonadota; Gammaproteobacteria; Vibrionales; Vibrionaceae
Source: Rfam
GGGCAAGAUAGGUGAAGUAGGCCCACCGACAAGUCGGCGGUUCCUAUUUCACUCCCCUUUAUUCGCACCGGAGGUGCUCAACGGGAAUCUUGCUCUUCGAGGCU